Molecule: ribosomal RNA, 112 nt
Filed under: Caerostris extrusa
Lineage: Eukaryota; Metazoa; Arthropoda; Arachnida; Araneae; Araneidae
Source: RNAcentral
ACGGUCAUACCAUGCUGAAUAUAGCGGAUUCUCGUUAGAUCACCGAAGUCAAGCAUCAUUGGGCGCGGCCAGUACUUGGUGGGGACCACCAAAUGGAACACCGCGUGCCGUU